AUGGCGUGGGAACGGAGGCAUUCUGGGCCAGACAGGGAUGCACCUCCCUGCCCACAGGAGCCCCAGCCUGGGGGCCGGCCCGGCAUCCUCCAGGGUUGGAGCACAUGCAGGCACGUGUACACAUGCACACACAGCUACGCAUCAACAGGGGGUCCUGGGGAAGCAGGGACUCGGGCUGGGCAGGCCAGCGUGCACACACACCGGGUCCUCAGGCCCUGCCUGGGGGAAGGCGUCCUUCUCCUCCGAGGCCUGGAAAGCGGGGCGUGGGCCGAGUUCAGGUGCUUCUCCUGGGUCUGUACACACAUGCACAGCCAUCCUCCCUCGGCCCUCAGCUCCUCCCCACCUCUCUGGAGGCUUUCUUCAGCCUCUUCUACUCCCUUUGGAAAGUCCUCCCCAGCUCCCAGCUCAGAUUGCAAGGCUGUCCUCUGCUGCUGCUGCUGCUGCUGCUGCUGCCGGAGCCACAGGCCGGUCCCUGCUGGUGUGAUGAGAAAGCAGAGGGGGAUGGGGAGGGGCUGCCACUCUCAGGAGCUGAGCGCCAGGCCCGCGGCCUCCCUUGAGAACAGCGACAUGGCAUGUGGUUCGGGGGCCACUAUGCCCAGCCCUGCAGAGAGGCCCAGCGCUGUCCUGGGGCCCCAGAUGCCAGUCCUCAAGUGCACGGGCACGUGCCUACCUUCACACGUGCGGGUCUUCCUCCGGAGCCUUCCCUGACCUCUGCUGCUCCUGCUAUUCCCCAGACCCAGCUGAUGCUGGCAGCAUAUGGAGGCUGCAGGCCCUAUGGUGGACCCUGGAGAUGGAACUGGGAGCACAACAGCUCAUGGUAUCCUGGGGACCAGCAGACUGUAAGCAAACAGAUGUAGCUCAGGUCAGGAUCGACAGGGUAAAAUAAAGGAUGGGGACGGAGACUGAGCUGACCAGGGAACACAGUCAGCCUGUGUUCUGGACACACAAGGAGAAAAUGAGGGAGGCAACAUGUGGGCAGGGUGCAAAGGCACUGGGGUCGGCCAAGGCUCCCUGAACACUUGCUCGCCCAUCACAGAACAUUCACACGGCAUGUCCCAUGAGCCAGGGCUGUGUGGGCAAUGGAUGGGAUCUCAGAGGAAGGUUGCCUUAGGCAGAGCCUGUUUGGGGUGGAUGGGUGAGGCCUGGGCUGGCCACAGGGGGAUGUCCUUCCUGGACGAGCUGGAUCCUGAGGAGAGAGGGAAGAAGGCUCCCUAUCAGGGGACCAGUUGGCAGGAAGGUGGCCACUAGGAGGGACCCGUGGUCAGGCUGCAGGAGAAGCUGGUAGCUGGUCCUGUGGGUUCCAGAGGCCUGGGCUGCUGUGAGCUCACCCCUACAACUCACCUGGACCAAUGGGCUAUGGGCCCAAGCUGGGACAGGAGUCUGUGGGACUUGUAUCCCCGGAGGUUGUGGGGGGAGGGCCGGCCCAAACUGUCCCCUCUCCCAGGCCCCUGCUUCUCCCCGAGCCACCCAGGUUUGGGAGAUGAACCUUUUCAGAUCCCCCUGCCCCCAAGUUAGUGUCCUGGGGCUGCUGUAACAAAUUACUGCAAACUUGCCUUAAAACUGAUAUUUAUUGUCUUCCAGUUCUGGAGGCCGGAAGUCUCAGAUCAAGGUGUGGGCAGGGGUGCUCCCCCUGGAGGCCCCCCUCCCAGGCUCUGGUGGCUGCUGGCCACUGCUGGUGUUCCCUGGCUCGCGCCUGCACCGCCUGCCCCUGCCUUCUGCUCACGCAGCCACAUUCCCUCAUGUCUCUGUGUCUACCCCUCUUCUUAGAAGGACACCUGCCAUUGCUUUUAGGACCCACCCUCAACCCAGCAUGACCCCAUUUCGAGAUCCUUCACUUAAUUACGUCUGCAAAGAUCCCUUUUCCAAAGAUGAUCCAUUCACAGGUUCUAGGGGGUAGGACUGGAGCCUAUCUUUUUUGGGGGCCACCAUUCAACCCAGGACCCCUUAAAUGCCAAGAGCCUGGGAGGCUGCACCUUUCUUCACUGCCAAGCCCAAGCCUCUGCCGUUCACCAGAGAGCCUCAGACCACGGGGACCCCCUGACACAG
RNAcentral lists this long non-coding RNA (2046 nucleotides) under Canis lupus familiaris (dog). RNAcentral describes it as "lncRNA (ENSCAFG00030006839.1)". Lineage: Eukaryota; Metazoa; Chordata; Mammalia; Carnivora; Canidae. The record is from RNAcentral.